GCGCUGCUGAUACGUCAGCUUUGGUGCUUAUUAAGAGCUAGCCCAAGCUGAACAGAUGCCCAUGUCCGUAUGUGCACGUGCACAGUGGAACCCAGGAAGCAUAUUUGUGGAGGGUAAUCUCAGGAGCGGAUUAUCAACAGAAGUCAAAGAUGAAGAGACGCUGUUGCAAUCACACUUUGCAGAAAACAGGAAAUAGGAAAAAAUUACAACAACCAACCCUGAACCCCCAAAGAACCAGCAAAUGAUGUAAAACUUCCCAUUGGGAAGAAAAACAACACUGUGAGAGAAAAAAAACUGUGGAGCACAGCUGCACCUGGUGGUAUCCCACAGUUGGAGACGGAAAGCGUUUGACACCCGGGCAGGAAGCCCUCACCGUGUCUAGUCCCAGCGAAGUUCAUCUGGCGUAGAAUGAAGACGGACAUUUAUGAUUGGGUCAGGACCUGUGUAGCAUGCCUAUGACCGACGGGGCCCACACGUCCAUCGGCACCUGGGUUGUCUGGUUUAGUGUCCCCUACGACCUCUCCUCCGAUCAUGGGCUUCUGGGCUCUGGAUUUCAGUCGCCCAGAAUCUAUCUCACUCCACCACACCGCAGCUUACCACAUGCAGUUUUCACCAUUCCUUGAAGGCCACCCUAAACCAGUCUCUAGGACAACAAUUGGAUCAACUGACCUCCAUGGGAGAUGCUAGGACUCAUGACUGCACCUAAAGAGCACCUUAAUUGUGGAGCAACCAUCCAUUCUUGAUAUUUUAGAAUAGAUGUCUGAUAUUAGUAGUUCCGUAUAUCACCCUCAGAUUUGGACACUUGUGGUCAAUGAGUUUAUGAUACAGGACAUGUAUAGUUUUACCUGUUUUAUAACAGUGAUCUCUCAGUACAUCACUUAUCUGAAGGAGAACAACUUCACUUUUGCAUUUUCACCAUGAUAAUUGCAUUUGUGGCACUUUAUUUAUGAAUAUUAUGAAUAUAAUCUAAGUAUUGCAAAUGGUGUCUUGAUUCAUUUUCCAAGUCUCUGUGAUGCUUACAUGUGGAGUUAUAAAGCCUUGAAUAGAACAUUAUGGGUGAGGAUUGUCCAGCUUUGGCAUCUGCACAAAGGGGUUAAAGCUGUUUAUUAAAUGAGUACACAUAAUCACAUUUAUAUGAAUAUAUCAGGUAAGACACAUAAGGGGUUAGAUUUGUGGGAGGCUAUAUUUUACCAGUGCUCUGGUAGAAAAAGGAACUGAAAAUAUGGAAAUGGGUGAAUAUAGGCAAAAUGGCAAGAACACGGCAAUAAAAUCUAUGAUGUAGUUUGUAUAUUGAAAAAUUCAUAUUAAAAUACUGCAAACUACAUUUUCAGCAGCUAAAUAGUUUCAUAUCAGCUAGAGAAGUGUUCCAUCUUAUAUUCAGGUGUUGCUGUAAAUGGUUGGUAUGCUGUUUUUAAAUCUACUGGCUUUGAUAUCUGAUUGACAGCUGCAUGCAAAAUGUGAACAUAGCUUAAGUUUCAAAACUAUUUCAAGUCAGAUUGUUUUGGUUUUUGCCUAGCAACAGUCCCAAACAUCUUUGGUCUGAAAUAUGACUUGUUUGAGAUGGUCUGGACUACAACACUGGUUUGUGGCAAAUAAAGGUCUUUGGGAUCAAAGGGGGUGAUCCAACACCUGGCUAACUAGACUUGAAAAAAAAAGUUAUUGAUUCCCAUAAUUCUAAGAUGAUAAGCAGAAACCUUCUAAAUAAGAGACAGUGUAACAGUAUCUGCUGUGUUCAGUGUUUUAUGUUCUAGUACAAUAUCAUAAAUGUCAUAUUAUACAUAUAAUUUAUCUUUACAAUGUUAAUAAAGCUAUAAAUUUUGACUGUACUGUAGACAUCAAAGUACUGCCACACUCAGAACCCAUUUACCAAAUGCUGUGCCAGUGUUCCAUGUGAAAUCUUUCUGUAAACAAACAUCUAUCAUUUGAGAAAACAUCAUAAAAUCAUUCAAACAUUUUCCUCACUCGCCAGUUGCCCAAUAUGACAGCCUUGGAAUCAUUCAAUUCUGUGACAAAUCUAACAGUUGGAAUUUAUAUUACUGUCGUAUUCUGAUUGUCAUAGUUUGACUGACAGAAAAUACAGCUGGAGUAAGCUCCCAAGCGUGACGCCAGAUAAUUAAGAGAUGGCAAAAACAAUAUAUUCCUGGCUUCUCUACUCAACAGUUGGUGAAAUAAUUAAAAUAAUUAAGUUAAAGGGGUUUGUGGUUAGUAUAACAUAGACAAAUAACAAUUCAAAAGCCAUAAGUGAAAAGUGAAUCAGUGGAAAUCCACUUUUUUCCUAUAUUGUUCCUUUUAACAUUUCUCAGUUAACCAAAGGGAGGUAAAGACAUGAUCACUUCCACUGAAUUUAUUAAUGAUGUUUACAGUUUCUAUUUGAUACAUGAGUAUUUAAAUAUCUGUAUUUCAAAAUGCUAUUUAUAUAUUUCAACUAUUUCCAGAUACACUGGUCAUACAAAUGUUACAAAUUAACAAUACACUACUGUAGUAAAGACAGCAUUGCGUGGUCAGACAUGCCAGCCAUGUUCUAAGUGGACACUUGUUGGUUUGAGUUGAAAAUAACACCUAACUUAGCUAACAUCUUUAGCUUGAAUACAAGUGGACACAUUUUGGAGUAUAGUAUUUACAUUGACAAAGCAGCCACGAAGAUGCAAGUACUGGAUAUACCGAAAGUGAAUGUAAUAUAAGUACAUUACAUAUGGACAUUUGAAACUUUUUUCUGAAUGAUUUAUUCCGUGAUCUGAAGUGCUGUUCUUAAAGCUGAAAGGGUGUAUAUUUUCAUGCAAAAAUAGAUGAGACCAAUUAACCA
Molecule: long non-coding RNA, 2803 nt
Organism: Anguilla anguilla (European eel)
Lineage: Eukaryota; Metazoa; Chordata; Actinopteri; Anguilliformes; Anguillidae
Exons: 3
Source: RefSeq, a predicted model, not a curated record